AUUGAACGCUGGCGGCAGGCCUAACACAUGCAAGUCGAACGAUUGGCUGCCGGGUGAGUACUGUCUGGGAAACUGCCUUAUGGAUGGGGAUAACUACUGGAAACGGUAGCUAAUACCGCAUACCAUCAGAUGUGCCCAGAUGGGAUUAGCUAGUUGGUGGGGUAACGGCUCACCAAGGAGACGAUCCCUAGCUGGUCUGAGAGGAUGAACAGCCAAACUGGAACUGAGAAACGGUCCAGACUCCUACGGGAGGCAGCAGUGGGGAAUAUUGCACAAUGGGCGCAGGCCGGAUGCAGCCAUGCCGGGUGUAUGAAGAAGGCAUGCGGGUUGUAAAGUACUGUCAGCGGGGAGGCGUUACCCGCAGAAGAAGCACCGGCUAACUCCGUGCCAGCAGCCGCGGUAAUAC
Molecule: ribosomal RNA, 406 nt
Filed under: uncultured bacterium
Lineage: Bacteria
Description: partial 16S ribosomal RNA
Rfam family: Bacterial small subunit ribosomal RNA
Source: RNAcentral